This 765-nucleotide ribosomal RNA is filed under the name Aetana sp. Ind101. RNAcentral's name for it is "partial 28S ribosomal RNA". It matches the Rfam family "Eukaryotic large subunit ribosomal RNA", at positions 373 to 882 of the family's 3401-position model. Lineage: Eukaryota; Metazoa; Arthropoda; Arachnida; Araneae; Pholcidae. The record is from RNAcentral.
ACUUUGAAGAGAGAGUUCAAGAGUACGUGAAACUGCUCAGAGGCAAACGGGUGGGCCCUCGAAAUCCCGUUGCGGGGGGAUUCAGUCGCGGGGCCAGUCAGCCGAGCGAGGGCACCGACGGUAUCCUCCGCGGUGUCCCGAACGGCCCGAGCCACGCGACGCACUUCCUCCCGCACAGAGGACGCCGCAGCCGGUUGGGUAGCAGCGAGAGUCGGCCAUGAGGUCCGGCGCCGGCAGGUGACGGGGAGCUCGUCUCGGCACGCAGCCUCCCGUUGUUAGCCGGCCGGUCCGAGGCGCGACACCCGACCGAGGAGAAGGAGCCCCCAGCGGGCUCCGGCCGCGCACUCGUCCGUCGAGUCGGAGGAUUGGGCAGGCGAGAAAACUCGUUCGGAACGACCCGUGCGGGUCGCCCGUCCAGGGGUCUCUCCGCUAGCUAUUUGCCUCCGCGGCGAGCGCUUCGACGGCUUGCGGCGAGUAGGUCGGUCACCCACCCGACCCGUCUUGAAACACGGACCAAGGAGUCUAACAUGUGCGCAAGUCGCAGGGUCUUGAACAGGCCCGGGGGCGCAAUGAAAGUGGAGGCGGACACACUCGUUGUCUUCAGCCUAGUUGGGAUCCCCGACUCCGGUCGGGGCGCACCAACGGCCCGUCCGGACCGAUUCAUCGGCCGGCCGGAGCCGGAGCGCACACGUUGGGACCCGAAAGAUGGUGAACUAUGCCCGGGCAGGACGAAGUCAGAGGAAACUCUGAUGGAGGUCCGCAGCG